RNAcentral lists this ribosomal RNA (252 nucleotides) under uncultured bacterium. Its description in RNAcentral is "partial 16S ribosomal RNA". It matches the Rfam family "Bacterial small subunit ribosomal RNA", at positions 524 to 776 of the family's 1533-position model. The record is from RNAcentral.
UACGUAGGUGGCAAGCGUUGUUCGGAAUUACUGGGCGUAAGCGCGCGUAGGCGGCUCUUCCAGUCAGGCGUGAAAGCCCCGAGCUUAACUCGGGAACUGCGCUUGAUACUGUCGAGCUAGAGUGUGGAAGGGGCGAUUGGAAUUCCGUGUGUAGCGGUGAAAUGCGUGGAUAUACGGAGGAACACCAGAGGCGAAGGCGGAUCGCUGGGCCAACACUGACGCUGAUGUGCGAAAGCUAGGGGAGCAAACGGG